UGUGUGGUAGUGUAAGCAGUGUGUGCGUGUGUAAAUGUGCGUGUUAAUCUUUUGUCGUGAUGAAUUAUUAGUAAACAAUUUCUUAUCAAUUUUAAUUUAUUUUCCUAAAUUUUUGUACCCGUCCGAGCGGCGACCGUCUUAUAUUACUUUAAGAAUCGAUAAAACGCCCACAGUUUGUUAACUUUAAGUAAUUCAAAUCACGCUGUCAGUGAGCUGUGGAGUUCAAUAGUUUGUUACAAAACAUAUUUUAGAACCUCACGUUUGGUAUUUCUUUUCGUUGGACUCACCUAAUAGUUUGGGUUUCACCCCCAGUGUUAUUUCAUUUUAUAUUUUUUUAUUCGUGCGUCGAGGAAUUACUCAAGUGAACCAUUAUUUAACUUUUUUAACAUUUUUAUUCUCCAUUAUUUAGAGGAUAAGGAGACUCGAACAAGAUGUCUUAUCCAGAGGAAACAACGUCUGACAGAAAUGUUGAAAUCUGGAAGAUCAAGAAACUAAUCAAGAGUUUAGAAAUGGCCAGAGGGAAUGGAACAAGCAUGAUUUCAUUGAUCAUUCCUCCUAAGGAUCAAAUCUCUCGAGUGAGCAAAAUGUUAGCGGAUGAAUUUGGCACAGCCUCCAAUAUUAAAUCUAGAGUUAAUCGUCUCUCAGUAUUAGGAGCAAUAACAUCUGUCCAGCAUCGCCUUAAAUUAUAUACCAAAGUUCCACAAAAUGGCCUUGUAAUUUAUUGUGGUACAAUCGUAACAGAAGAAGGAAAAGAAAAGAAAGUAAAUAUAGAUUUUGAGCCUUUCAAACCAAUCAACACCUCCUUGUAUCUAUGUGAUAAUAAAUUUCAUACGGAAGCUUUGACUGCACUGUUAGCAGAUGAUAAUAAAUUUGGAUUUAUCGUAAUGGAUGGUAAUGGUGCUCUAUUUGGAACACUUCAAGGCAACACAAGAGAAGUUUUACAUAAGUUUACAGUUGAUUUGCCAAAGAAACAUGGAAGAGGAGGACAGUCAGCUCUGCGUUUUGCUCGGUUACGUAUGGAAAAACGGCAUAAUUAUGUACGAAAAGUUGCGGAAGUUGCGGUAUCUUUGUUCAUUGCUAAUGACAAACCAAAUGUGGCUGGUCUCAUUCUCGCAGGUAGUGCUGAUUUCAAAACGGAAUUGAGCCAGUCUGACAUGUUUGACCCUAGACUUCAAGCCAAGAUAAUCAAAUUAGUGGACGUUUCGUACGGUGGAGAAAAUGGAUUCAACCAAGCUAUUGAGCUAGCAGCUGAGUCUUUGCAGAAUGUGAAAUUCAUUCAAGAAAAAAAAUUAAUAGGUCGUUAUUUUGAUGAAAUCAGUCAAGAUACAGGAAAAUAUUGUUUCGGAGUGGAAGAUACCCUCAGAGCACUAGAGUUAGGAUCUGUGGAAACUCUUAUUUGUUGGGAAAAUUUAGAUAUCCAGCGGUACGUACUAAAAAACCACAUGAGUUCGGACGUCAAAAUCCUUCACCUCACUCCAGAGCAAGAAAAAGAUAAGAGUCAUUUCACCGACAAGGAGACUGGCGUAGAGCUAGAACUGGUCGAGUGUCAGCCUCUUUUGGAAUGGCUAGCAAAUAAUUACAAAAGUUUUGGUGCCACUCUGGAGAUAAUUACUGAUAAAUCUCAAGAAGGCUCACAGUUUGUACGAGGCUUUGGUGGUAUUGGAGUUUUUGUCGUUGCUCUGAAGUUGUUGCCUUUUAUUACCUAGUUUGCCUCGAAUGCUUUUUAAGAACUUACUCGGUGUUGCCAUUUUUGAGAAGUCAAACGAUGAUUGAAAAUGAAUGAGAGAAGAGUUUCUUUCGCUUCGACCACAAGGUCCAGAAAUUUUAAUUUCACCCUUUAGUCAUGCACGGAACAGCUGUUUACUGACAAAGUAGAUUCCAAGCGUAAUUUGUAAAAUAAGUAAUUGUUAAAGCUUUGAAUUGUGAUACUAUCAUUGUUCUAGUGUCUGCAGCCGUUACACAGCUUGUUUUGAUUUUGAUGUUUGCGUAAAUGGUGAAUUAAUCCAAGUAUGUAAUAAUUGUUUCUUGUCUUGUCAUUAAGUAAUGGUCGUACUUUUUUGUGUUCCUUGGUGUUGAUAAAGGAGGUAAGAGUUUUCACUUUAAUUUGAAAUUUUGUUUCUACAAAUUAAAGCACAGAUUUCCUCCAAGAUUUAUUAGAUAUUACAAUCCUUAUCACAAUUGAGCCAUUCUUUGCAUGAAUGAUGGACAAGCUUCGCGGUGCUGCCCAAAUUGUGCAAUUUGAAUAUCCGACUGGAAUUUUCCCCCUAAAAUAUUCUUCAUUUUUACUCAUUAUCCUCGGAAAUUAAUUAGCUUGUGUAUUUGUUUGGUUUACUACCAACUAUUUAUGACACUGCAGAAUUUGAGCGACAUUGCAAAAGCUUAUUGUCGUUGUCACGAAAAAUGGCUCAAUUGUGAAGAGACAUAGAUUGCAUUCAAAUAAAAUUUUGAGGGAAUCGUUAAAAUACUAUUUUUAUGAAGAAAAUAGAAGGUUAUUGGAAAUCAGAAAUAUCCUGUGUUCCCCCACAUCUUCUGACCCAAUUAUCUCAGGGCAUCUGACAAAUUUUUCAUCCCUCAACCAUUUAACUUUCCUUUGUUUUUCAUGAGAUUCUUCACAAUACCUAAUUGCUUUAUUUUUUAAGUUCUUUCAUGAAAAAAAGACAUACACUUGUAUAUUUUGGAACUUAAUAAAUUGAACAAGCGACAGUGAGCAUACAAUAUUUACUCACAUUAACCCUUUCAUUACCACAAGAGUAGGAUCUGCUUUCAAAAAACUGUAUCCUUCCCUUAGCAAUCUCACCAUUACUCAACAAGCUCCCAUUAGAAGUAUUCAAGCUCAUAGCUCUGUCUAUCAAGGAGGAUCAAAAUUACAACUUCAAAUAUUCUCUAAUAGAGUGCACUCCGAUUUGUUUGUACGACAACCAAUCUCUGUUGGGAGAUAUGGACACGCAGAAUUCAGCCUGUGAAUGAAAGGGUUAAUAAGUAACAAACUCAAUUAUAUAGUAGAAAGUCUCAGGCAUGCAACAGGUUUUUUGUAGCUAACAGAAACUUAGUAUCUGUUGAAGAGAGCAAUUUGUUAAGAGUUUGGUUUUUUUUUCAAACUUUUGAAGUUUAGUCCCGAAAAUGGACGCUGAAGAGCCUUUCAUCUGUGGGUAGAUAGAUUGCCAAAUAUUUAUCAAACUUAGGCAUCAGAUAGUGCAGGAACAAAAGGACCUAUGGAAGUUAAUGGUGCCAUGUACAUCUAAUGUGGUCAAACCUAUUUAUUCAUCAUCACGAAAAUAUUGAUGGCACAGUUGGCUGGUUGAAAAAUUAUCAAUGAGUGAUAUUUGCAUUGAUCAUA
This is an RNA transcript of Bemisia tabaci, 3337 nucleotides long. It is a transcript of the gene named eukaryotic release factor 1, with no coding region annotated. NCBI's taxonomy places the organism in Eukaryota, Metazoa, Arthropoda, Insecta, Hemiptera, Aleyrodidae. The record is from RefSeq and is a predicted model, not a curated record.